This 179-nucleotide microRNA precursor is filed under the name Arabidopsis lyrata. RNAcentral's name for it is "miR4243 stem-loop (aly-MIR4243)". The record is from miRBase by way of RNAcentral. Lineage: Eukaryota; Viridiplantae; Streptophyta; Magnoliopsida; Brassicales; Brassicaceae.
UUAAGAACCAUGAUUACAGUUGAAAUUAUAGAUUUCGUACAUGACAACAAUUUGCUCUAGUCUCACUCUCAAGAUUUUGUGGUUGUUGUUGCAGUAUUCGAGAGAAUACAUGUCAAAUAUGAGAGCAUGCAUGUCAUGUACGAAAUCUACAAUUUAAACUCUAAUUAAUGGAUGGUUCU